GACGAACGCUGGCGGCGUGCUUAACACAUGCAAGUCGAACGGAAAGGCCCUGCUUUUGUGGGGUGCUCGAGUGGCGAACGGGUGAGUAACACGUGCGUAACCUGCCCUUGACUUUGGGAUAACUUCAGGAAACUGGGGCUAAUACCGGAUAGGAGCUCCUGCUGCAUGGUGGGGGUUGGAAAGUUUCGGCGGUUGGGGAUGGACUCGCGGCUUAUCAGCUUGUUGGUGGGGUAGUGGCUUACCAAGGCUUUGACGGGUAGCCGGCCUGAGAGGGUGACCGGCCACAUUGGGACUGAGAUACGGCCCAGACGGCUACGGGAGGCAGCAGUGGGGAGUAUUGCGGAAUGGGCGGGAGCCUGAUGCAGCAACGCCGCGUGCGGGAUGACGGCCUUCGGGUUAUAAACCGCUUUCGCCUGUGACGAAGCGUGAGUGACGGUAAUGGGUAAAGAAGCACCGGCUAACUACGUG
This 468-nucleotide ribosomal RNA is filed under the name uncultured bacterium. RNAcentral's name for it is "partial 16S ribosomal RNA". It matches the Rfam family "Bacterial small subunit ribosomal RNA", at positions 28 to 507 of the family's 1533-position model. The record is from RNAcentral.